GAUGAAGAACGUAGCGAACUGCGAUAAGUAAUGUGAAUUGCAGAAUUCAGUGAAUUAUCGAGUCUUUGAACGCACAUUGCGCCCCCUGGCAUUCCGGGGGGCAUGCCUGUCCGAGCGUCAUUGCUGCCCUUCAAGCCCGGCUUGUGUGUUGGGUCGUCGUCCCCCCCGGGGGACGGGCCCGAAAGGCAGCGGCGGCACCGCGUCCGGUCCUCGAGCGUAUGGGGCUUUGUCACCCGCUCGAUUAGGGCCGGCCGGGCGCCAGCCGGCGUCUCCAACCUUCUAUUUUACCAGGUUGACCUCGGAUCAGGUAGGGAUACCCGCUGAACUUAAGCAUAUCAAUAAGCGGAGGA
RNAcentral lists this unclassified non-coding RNA (350 nucleotides) under soil metagenome. Its description in RNAcentral is "partial contains 5.8S ribosomal RNA, internal transcribed spacer 2, and large subunit ribosomal RNA". The stretch from base 1 to 120 matches the Rfam family "5.8S ribosomal RNA", at positions 35 to 154 of the family's 154-position model. The record is from RNAcentral.